This 253-nucleotide ribosomal RNA is filed under the name uncultured bacterium. RNAcentral's name for it is "partial 16S ribosomal RNA". It matches the Rfam family "Bacterial small subunit ribosomal RNA", at positions 524 to 776 of the family's 1533-position model. The record is from RNAcentral.
UACGUAGGUGGCGAGCGUUGUCCGGAUUUACUGGGCGUAAAGGGAGCGUAGGCGGACUUUUAAGUGAGAUGUGAAAUACUCGGGCUCAACUUGAGUGCUGCAUUUCAAACUGGAAGUCUAGAGUGCAGGAGAGGAGAAUGGAAUUCCUAGUGUGGCGGUGAAAUGCGUAGAGAUUAGGAAGAACACCAGUGGCGAAGGCGAUUCUCUGGACUGUAACUGACGCUGAGGCUCGAAAGCGUGGGGAGCAAACAGG